RNAcentral lists this ribosomal RNA (398 nucleotides) under Pyrenula massariospora. RNAcentral describes it as "partial small subunit ribosomal RNA". Lineage: Eukaryota; Fungi; Ascomycota; Eurotiomycetes; Pyrenulales; Pyrenulaceae. The record is from RNAcentral.
AAGUCGUAACAAGGUUUUCCUAGGGAUUAAAUGAUCCUUCUAUGGGUGCAUUUACCGAAACCUUAGUGAACCAGAAAAUGGUUGGUCAAACGACAGUAAAUAAAUUGGCCCCUCGGUUAUAUUUAUUAUAAAUUUCAACUGGGGCACUGGUCCUUUUCUCAAAGGGCAACACCUUGAGUCUGCAGGGUCAUUCAUAAUGAGAACUACCUGCAGCCUGACGGCUACUACAUUGUCGGGCUCACAGACUAAAUAGUGGUGGGCGCUUGUGACAUCUCACGGCGUUUCAGAUAUAGUCGUAUCUUGACAUUAAAACUGUUAAGUACGUGCGCAUCUUCAACUAUGUCUUUAUAUAUAAUGAUAAAAUUUGUUCCGUAGGUGAACCUGCGGAAGGAUCAUUA